Molecule: ribosomal RNA, 290 nt
Filed under: Litomosa chiropterorum
Lineage: Eukaryota; Metazoa; Nematoda; Chromadorea; Rhabditida; Onchocercidae
Description: partial 12S ribosomal RNA
Source: RNAcentral
AAAAUGUUUUAGUUUGUUAUUUUUUGUUAAAGAUAUUUAAAAUUUGAUUUUUGAACUGGAUUAGUACCCAGGUAAUCAAAAUUUAUUAAUUCGGGAGUAAAGUUUUGUUUAAACCGAAAAAAUAUUGACUGACCUUAGAUUUUUCUUUGGAACAUGUGUUGUGGAUAGUCCUCCUUUUUUGUCUAUUUUAUUUGCCCAUGUAUGAUUGUUUAGUUUUUACAUUUUUUGUGAUGCUCUAUCAUUUGUUGUUAUAAAACAGAUAUAUAUUUGGUUUAUAAAUUGAUUUUUCA